CCAUCUCUAGGAUGCAUGCCAACCUAUCGCGUCCCCUGAGCCGAUAUCAUCUCCAUGGGAAGCGGUACUGAUGUGGUUGUGAGCCGUCUGUCGCAGCGUCCGGUUCGUCCGGGGCCCGCAGAAAGCCUGAUACCGCAUACUGGCUUCCCCCUUGAACCUUUGGGUUCAAGGGUCAAGAUGGGUAGCGGCAUUCUGGAGCCUGA
This 203-nucleotide non-coding RNA is filed under the name Fluviicoccus keumensis. Its description in RNAcentral is "6S / SsrS RNA". It matches the Rfam family "6S / SsrS RNA". Rfam says of the family: E. coli 6S RNA was the first non coding RNA to be sequenced, but its function was unknown until recently. It consists of 184 nucleotides that fold into an extended hairpin structure with a large single-stranded internal bulge. The 6S RNA specifically associates with RNA polymerase holoenzyme containing the sigma70 specificity factor. The record is from Rfam by way of RNAcentral. Lineage: Bacteria; Pseudomonadati; Pseudomonadota; Gammaproteobacteria; Moraxellales; Moraxellaceae.